Molecule: long non-coding RNA, 793 nt
Filed under: Olea europaea subsp. europaea
Lineage: Eukaryota; Viridiplantae; Streptophyta; Magnoliopsida; Lamiales; Oleaceae
Source: RNAcentral
CCUCUCUGUACAACAAAAAAUAGAGUUCGUUAAAUUUUGCAACAAACUCACUUUGUUCAGGAAUAAGGAUGCUGAAUAUAAGCAUUAAUUCAAACAUGUUUAGAAGUUUGUUUACAAGGGCUCCAAGUGCAUGCCUUGCUUCUUCCAAGAAGCUGGCUUACUUCCACAAUAUCACUAUUGAUACUGCCAAAAUAAGCCACAAAGAAGUCCUUUUUUCGGGUUUUGACUUUUGGCUUCUUUUGUCUUCUAAGAUCACCUAAGAUGUGUUGCAACAAACAUGUUUUCGCCAUUUUAGAACAAUUUCAUGAACAUAUGAAAACUUCCCAUCUUUCUACAGACAAAGUACAAAAGACGUACAAGAAAUUACAUCUCUUUAUUUAAUUUUAAAACCACUCUACCAGGACAAAAUAUUAAAGUUCCCAUUCGUUUGCUUGGAUCUUCUUGAAAACUCAUUAAAUUAAACCUUUCAAAAUUAAAACGCAACAAUAACUCGCUUAAAAAAGGUCUUAAGGGGAGGGUGUCCAAUUGUUUAUAAACCCAAAAGGCAGGCCUUUCAAGAACAAUGUAGGAUUAAGUUAGAUCGUCAUAUAAAAAUUCCAAAUCUUCAUCAAAGCAAUUAAAAAAUAGAAGAUACUACACAAAGAAAGCAGCAAAAAGGCACCAGUGCAGGAGGUUUGAUGGUGAGGAGGCAAGAGAUUUUCUUUUAAAAUGUAAUAACCUUAAGAACUCCACCAAUAAGGUUAGAGAAAGAAUCCUUAAUAUUAUGUUCAGGUUAGAGGAUAUCAUAAUUUCA